UACGUAGGUGGCAAGCGUUGUCCGGAUUUAUUGGGCGUAAAGAGCGUGUAGGCGGCCAGGUAGGUCCGUUGUGAAAACUCGAGGCUCAACCUCGAGACGUCGGCGGAAACCAUCUGGCUAGAGUCCGGAAGAGGAGAGUGGAAUUCCUGGUGUAGCGGUGAAAUGCGCAGAUAUCAGGAAGAACACCCGUGGCGAAGGCGGCUCUCUGGGACGGUACUGACGCUGAGACGCGAAAGCGUGGGGAGCAAACAGG
Molecule: ribosomal RNA, 253 nt
Filed under: uncultured bacterium
Lineage: Bacteria
Description: partial 16S ribosomal RNA
Rfam family: Bacterial small subunit ribosomal RNA
Source: RNAcentral